ACGCGGGUGUUCUGUUAAGGUAUAUUCCGUUAACUGCUAAACGGAUGACUGGCAUUGUUUCACGAGGUGGGUCGAUUCAUGCAAAAUGGUGUUUGGCUUAUCAUAAGGAGAAUUUUGCUUAUGAACAUUGGGAGGACAUUCUUGAUAUUUGUAAUCAGUAUGAUAUUGCUUUGUCUAUUGGUGAUGGGUUGAGGCCUGGAUCCAUUUAUGAUGCUAAUGAUACUGCUCAGUUUGCUGAGUUAUUGACUCAAGGUGAGUUGACUCGAAAAGCUUGGGCGAAGGAUGUACAGGUAUGUUGAAAAGAAAAGGGAUAGGAUCAUGUUAAAGUUUUCAUCUUCUUGCAUACUUACAUAAUAACUUAUCUCGAAUAUUACAGGUGAUGAACGAAGGACCCGGACAUAUCCCAAUGCACAAAAUCCCUGAAAACAUGCAAAAACAAUUAGAAUGGUGCAACGAAGCCCCAUUCUACACACUCGGCCCAUUAACCACCGACAUCGCCCCAGGCUACGACCACAUCACCUCCGCCAUCGGCGCCGCCAACAUCGGAGCCCUAGGAACCGCC
RNAcentral lists this long non-coding RNA (562 nucleotides) under Lactuca sativa (garden lettuce). RNAcentral's name for it is "long non-coding RNA (LSAT_LNC005994)". Lineage: Eukaryota; Viridiplantae; Streptophyta; Magnoliopsida; Asterales; Asteraceae. The record is from RNAcentral.